This 253-nucleotide ribosomal RNA is filed under the name uncultured bacterium. RNAcentral describes it as "partial 16S ribosomal RNA". It matches the Rfam family "Bacterial small subunit ribosomal RNA", at positions 524 to 776 of the family's 1533-position model. The record is from RNAcentral.
UACGUAGGUGGCAAGCGUUGUCCGGAAUUAUUGGGCGUAAAGCGCGCGCAGGCGGUCCUUUAAGUCUGAUGUGAAAGCCCACGGCUCAACCGUGGAGGGUCAUUGGAAACUGGGGGACUUGAGUGCAGGAGAGAAGAGUGGAAUUCCAGGUGUAGCGGUGAAAUGCGUAGAUAUCUGGAGGAACACCGGUGGCGAAGGCGGCAUCCUGGACCGGUAUUGACGCUGAGGAGCGAAAGCCAGGGGAGCAAACGGG